GGUUUAGCACCCCCUCCUCCUCCCUAUUCUACAGUUGCAUUAGCGGCCCUCAACCAUGGACAUCCUAAAAGGAGAGGAAAUACAUUCUUAUUUGAAUGCAUUUGAAUCACAAGGAAGAUAAGUGAAUAUUCUUCACCUCUUGUAACUAUUUUGCAGUCUUGAAUUAAGCCCACUAGCUCUUCUCGACUUUGGUUUGUCAUGUUGAUGACAUAUGGAAAUGGCCUA
This 225-nucleotide long non-coding RNA is filed under the name Physcomitrium patens. RNAcentral's name for it is "long non-coding RNA (PPAT_LNC014563)". The record is from RNAcentral. Lineage: Eukaryota; Viridiplantae; Streptophyta; Bryopsida; Funariales; Funariaceae.